This 606-nucleotide long non-coding RNA is filed under the name Felis catus (domestic cat). RNAcentral describes it as "lncRNA (ENSFCAG00000053413.1)". The record is from RNAcentral. Lineage: Eukaryota; Metazoa; Chordata; Mammalia; Carnivora; Felidae.
GCUGCCUACCCUUCCCACCCUCGGUCCGCAGCCGCACCGGCGACUGUGGUGUCGUGUCCCUCUUCCCCAGGGUUCUGUGAAGCCCCGGAGGACGGGGAUCCGGGUGCGACUUCGUCAGCACUCUAUCCCCCAGGGGGCCCCGGGCUGGCAUACGGUGGACACUGAACUCAUGUGCAAUUAUCCAGAAAGGGUCCUCCCACCUUCCUGGAUGAGAAUCCGGAUGAUGCAAAUUUCAGCCUGCACCCGACACCCAGAUCCCCACCAUGUACCCCUGGGGGGUUACCUGGCUUUUUCUUGCACGCCUUUGGGACUGAGAAGCUCACUCUUUUUUUUUUUUUAAGUUUAUUUAUUUUGAGAGACAGCGAGAGAGAGAGAGAGAGAGAGAGGAGAGAGAGAGAGAGAGAGAGAGAGAGAGAAUCCCAUGUAGGUCGUCAGCGCAGAGCCCGAUGCAGCGCUCAAUCUCACAAACAAACCGGGAGAUCGGGACCCAAGCCGAAAUCAAGAGUUGGACGUUUAACUGACUGAGCCACUCAGGCACCCCGAGCUCGCUCUCUUUGAGUAAGUCAAAGAUCUUAGGACACCCCCCCCCCCGAAUCUGCCUCCAUC